UCUCCGUAGGUGAACCUGCGGAGGGAUCAUUAACGAGUUCCCAUUAAACGGGUAGAAUUCCCACCCUAUGUUAUCAUUACCUUUGUUGCUUUGGCGGGCCGUCCCGGCCUUGGUCAGGCUACCGGCUCCGGCUGGUAAGCGCCCGCCAGAUGACCCCAAACCCUGAAUAUUAGUGUCGUCUGAGUACUAUAUAAUAGUUAAAACUUUCAACAACGGAUCUCCUGGUUCUG
Molecule: unclassified non-coding RNA, 230 nt
Filed under: plant metagenome
Description: partial contains small subunit ribosomal RNA, internal transcribed spacer 1, and 5.8S ribosomal RNA
Source: RNAcentral